This 117-nucleotide non-coding RNA is filed under the name Nomascus leucogenys (northern white-cheeked gibbon). The record is from Rfam by way of RNAcentral. Lineage: Eukaryota; Metazoa; Chordata; Mammalia; Primates; Hylobatidae.
GCCGGGUGCGAUGGCUCACACCUAUAAUCCCAGCACUUUGGGAGGCUGAGGCGGGUGGAUCACCUGAGGUCAGGAGUUCGAGACCAGCCUGGCCAACAUGGUGAAACCCCGUCUCUA